RNAcentral lists this ribosomal RNA (279 nucleotides) under uncultured bacterium. RNAcentral describes it as "partial 16S ribosomal RNA". It matches the Rfam family "Bacterial small subunit ribosomal RNA", at positions 506 to 784 of the family's 1533-position model. The record is from RNAcentral.
UGCCAGCAGCCGCGGUAAUACGAAGGGUGCAAGCGUUGUUCGGAUUUACUGGGCGUAAAGCGCGCGCAGGCGGCUUUUUAAGUCAGAUGUGAAAGUCCACGGCUCAACCGUGGAAGUGCAUUUGAAACUGGGAGGCUUGAGUAUUGGAGGGGGUGGUGGAAUUCCCGGUGUAGAGGUGAAAUUCGUAGAUAUCGGGAGGAACACCAGUGGCGAAGGCGGCUUUCUGGCCCAUUCUUGACGCUGAGGCGCGAAAGCUAGGGGAGCGAACGGGAUUAGAUA